RNAcentral lists this ribosomal RNA (430 nucleotides) under uncultured bacterium. RNAcentral's name for it is "bacterial SSU rRNA". It matches the Rfam family "Bacterial small subunit ribosomal RNA", at positions 354 to 796 of the family's 1533-position model. The record is from RNAcentral.
GUGGGGAAUAUUGCACAAUGGGCGAAAGCCUGAUGCAGCAACGCCGCGUGAGGGACGACGGCCUUCGGGUUGUAAACCUCUUUUAGUAGGGAAGAAGCGAAAGUGACGGUACCUGCAGAAAAAGCACCGGCUAACUACGUGCCAGCAGCCGCGGUAAUACGUAGGGUGCAAGCGUUGUCCGGAAUUAUUGGGCGUAAAGAGCUCGUAGGCGGUUUGUCGCGUCUGCUGUGAAAACCCGAGGCUCAACCUCGGGCCUGCAGUGGGUACGGGCAGACUAGAGUGCGGUAGGGGAGAUUGGAAUUCCUGGUGUAGCGGUGGAAUGCGCAGAUAUCAGGAGGAACACCGAUGGCGAAGGCAGAUCUCUGGGCCGUAACUGACGCUGAGGAGCGAAAGCGUGGGGAGCGAACAGGAUUAGAAACCCCAGUAGUCC